This 500-nucleotide ribosomal RNA is filed under the name uncultured bacterium. RNAcentral describes it as "partial 16S ribosomal RNA". It matches the Rfam family "Bacterial small subunit ribosomal RNA", at positions 30 to 523 of the family's 1533-position model. The record is from RNAcentral.
AUUGAACGCUGGCGGCAGGCCUAACACAUGCAAGUCGAGCGGAUGACGGGAGCUUGCUCCUUGAUUCAGCGGCGGACGGGUGAGUAAUGCCUAGGAAUCUGCCUGGUAGUGGGGGACAACGUUUCGAAAGGAACGCUAAUACCGCAUACGUCCUACGGGAGAAAGCAGGGGACCUUCGGGCCUUGCGCUAUCAGAUGAGCCUAGGUCGGAUUAGCUAGUUGGUGGGGUAAUGGCUCACCAAGGCGACGAUCCGUAACUGGUCUGAGAGGAUGAUCGGGCACACUGGAACUGAGACACGGUCCAGAUUCCUACGGGAGGCAGCAGUGGGGAAUAUUGGACAAUGGGCGAAAGCCUGAUCCAGCCAUGCCGCGUGUGUGAAGAAGGUCUUCGGAUUGUAAAGCACUUUAAGUUGGGAGGAAGGGCAGUAAGUUAAUACCUUGCUGUUUUGACGUUACCGGCAGAAUAAGCACCGGCUAACUCUGUGCCAGCAGCCGCGGUAA